RNAcentral lists this transfer RNA (71 nucleotides) under Loxodonta africana (African savanna elephant). It matches the Rfam family "tRNA". From Rfam's summary of the family: Transfer RNA (tRNA) molecules are approximately 80 nucleotides in length. Their secondary structure includes four short double-helical elements and three loops (D, anti-codon, and T loops). The record is from Rfam by way of RNAcentral. Lineage: Eukaryota; Metazoa; Chordata; Mammalia; Proboscidea; Elephantidae.
GCAGAGGUAAUUCAGUGGUAGAAUUCUCACCUUCCACAUGGGAGACCCGGCUUCAGUUCCUGGUCAAUGCA